UGACUCUGUUCAACGGCCGCGGUAUCCUAACCGUGCGAAGGUAGCGUAAUCACUUGUCCUUUAAAUGGGGACUAGUAUGAAUGGCACCACGAGGGUUAUACUGUCUCCUUUUUUCAAUCAGUGAAACUAAUCCCCCCGUGAAGAAGCGGGGAUAUACAUAUAAGACGAGAAGACCCUAUGGAGCUUUAAACAAAACAACAUUUGCUAUAACCUAUAUUAAUCUCAGGAAACCAACCCCUAUUUUAGCAUCAUGAUUGUUAGUUUUAGGUUGGGGUGACCGCGGAGUAAAAAAUAACCUCCACAAUGAAUGGGAUCUUCCCUAAGCAAAAAGCCACAACUUUAUGCAUCAACAAAUUGACAUCAAUUGACCCAAUAUUUUGAUCAACGAAACAAGUUACCCUAGGGAUAACAGCGCAAUCCACUUCGAGAGCCCGUAUCGACAAGUGGGUUUACGACCUCGAUGUUGGAUCAGGGUACCCCAGUGGUGCAGCCGCUACUAAAGGUUCGUUUGUUCAACGAUUAAAACCCU
RNAcentral lists this ribosomal RNA (529 nucleotides) under Gastrotheca griswoldi (Griswold's marsupial frog). RNAcentral's name for it is "partial large subunit ribosomal RNA". It matches the Rfam family "Bacterial large subunit ribosomal RNA", at positions 1915 to 2597 of the family's 2925-position model. Lineage: Eukaryota; Metazoa; Chordata; Amphibia; Anura; Hemiphractidae. The record is from RNAcentral.